GUGCCUUAAACUAAUGAGUAAGGAAAAUAUAGAGCCUUGUUAACUCUGGGUUCAGCUACCAAGUUAGCAAAUGUAAAUUUUUUAAAGAGGUAUAGGUCGUCCCCUUGAGUUCGCUGUCUACUUUUACAGUGAAUUCGGGUGAAGCGAUCUACCUC
Rhodnius prolixus is the source of this 155-nucleotide non-coding RNA. Lineage: Eukaryota; Metazoa; Arthropoda; Insecta; Hemiptera; Reduviidae. The record is from Rfam.